GUGCUCGCUUUGGCAGCACAUAUACUAAAACUGGAACGAUACAGAGAAGAUUAGCAUGGCCUCUGCACGAGGAUGAUGUGCAAAUUCAUGAAAUGUUCCAUAUUUUU
RNAcentral lists this small nuclear RNA (107 nucleotides) under Camelus bactrianus (Bactrian camel). Lineage: Eukaryota; Metazoa; Chordata; Mammalia; Artiodactyla; Camelidae. The record is from RNAcentral. RNAcentral also lists the same sequence under 1 other name.